RNAcentral lists this ribosomal RNA (427 nucleotides) under uncultured bacterium. RNAcentral's name for it is "partial 16S ribosomal RNA". It matches the Rfam family "Bacterial small subunit ribosomal RNA", at positions 355 to 774 of the family's 1533-position model. The record is from RNAcentral.
UGGGGAAUAUUGCACAAUGGGCGCAAGCCUGAUGCAGCCAUGCCGCGUGUAUGAAGAAGGCCUUCGGGUUGUAAAGUACUUUCAGCGAGGAGGAAGGCGGUAAGGUUAAUAACCUUAUCGAUUGACGUUACUCGCAGAAGAAGCACCGGCUAACUCCGUGCCAGCAGCCGCGGUAAUACGGAGGGUGCAAGCGUUAAUCGGAAUUACUGGGCGUAAAGCGCACGCAGGCGGUCUGUCAAGUCGGAUGUGAAAUCCCCGGGCUCAACCUGGGAACUGCAUUCGAAACUGGCAGGCUAGAGUCUUGUAGAGGGGGGUAGAAUUCCAGGUGUAGCGGUGAAAUGCGUAGAGAUCUGGAGGAAUACUGGUGGCGAAGGCGGCCCCCUGGACAAAGACUGACGCUCAGGUGCGAAAGCGUGGGGAGCAAACA